RNAcentral lists this ribosomal RNA (504 nucleotides) under uncultured Pseudomonas sp. RNAcentral describes it as "bacterial SSU rRNA". It matches the Rfam family "Bacterial small subunit ribosomal RNA", at positions 903 to 1382 of the family's 1533-position model. Lineage: Bacteria; Pseudomonadati; Pseudomonadota; Gammaproteobacteria; Pseudomonadales; Pseudomonadaceae. The record is from RNAcentral.
CCCGCCUCAGAAACUACAAAUGAAUUGACGGGGGCCCGGCACAAGCGGUGGAGUAGUGUGGUUUAAUUUCGAUGCAACGCGAAGAACCUUACCUGGUCUUGACAUCCCGGAGACCCUUAGGAAACUAGGGGUGCUUCCAUCUGGAAGAAUCUGGAGACAGGUGCUGCAUGGCUGUCGUCAGCUCGUGUCGUGAGAUGCUGGGUUAAGUCCGUAACGAGCGCAACCCUUGUCCUUAGUUACCAGCACGUUAUGGUGGGCACUCUAAGGAGACUGCCGGUGACAAACCGGAGGAAGGCGGGGAUGACGUCAAAUCAGCACGGCCCUUACGUCCAGGGCUACACACGUGCUACAAUGGUCGGUACAAAGGGUUGCCAAGCCGCGAGGUGGAGCUAAUCCCAUAAAACCGAUCGUAGUCCGGAUCGCAGUCUGCAACUCGACUGCGUGAAGUCGGAAUCGCUAGUAAUCGUGAAUCAGAAUGUCACGGUGAAUACGUUCCCGGGCCUU